This 113-nucleotide ribosomal RNA is filed under the name Erinaceus europaeus (western European hedgehog). Lineage: Eukaryota; Metazoa; Chordata; Mammalia; Eulipotyphla; Erinaceidae. The record is from RNAcentral.
GUCUAUGGCCAUACCACCCUGAAGAUGCUCAAUCUCUUCUGAUCUCAGAGGCUAUGCAGGGUCGUGCCUGGUUAGUACUUGGCUAGAAACUGGACACUGGUACUCCAUGAGUU